GAUGAACGCUGGCGGCGUGCUUAACACAUGCAAGUCGAACGGUGAAGCAGGAGCUUGCUCUUGUGGAUCAGUGGCGAACGGGUGAGUAACACGUGAGCAACCCGCCCCUGACUCUGGGAUAAGCGCUGGAAACGGCGUCUAAUACUGGAUAUGUGAUGUGACCGCAUGGGCUGCAUCUGGAAAGAAUUUCGGUUGGGGAUGGGCUCGCGGCCUAUCAGCUUGUUGGUGUGGUAAUGGCUGACCAAGGCGUCGACGGGUAGCCGGCCUGAGAGGGUGACCGGCCACAAUGGGACUGAGACACGGCCCAGACUCCUACGGGAGGCAGCAGUGGGGAAUAUUGCACAAUGGGCGGAAGCCUGAUGCAGCAACGCCGCGUGAGGGAUGACGGCCUUCGGGUUGUAAACCUCUUUUAGCAGGGAAGAAGCGAAAGUGACGGUACCUGCAGAAAAAGCACCGGCUAACUACGUGCCAGCCGCCGCCGUAA
Molecule: ribosomal RNA, 484 nt
Filed under: uncultured bacterium
Lineage: Bacteria
Description: partial 16S ribosomal RNA
Rfam family: Bacterial small subunit ribosomal RNA
Source: RNAcentral